GUUGGAUCGAUGAUGCUUAUGAAGAAACUGCGUUAUCUAUCUGUAAAUUCCUUAAUCGGAUCUGAUGAUAGUUUAAACUUCCUGAGAUCCUUC
Small nucleolar RNA from Lactuca sativa (garden lettuce), 93 nucleotides. RefSeq annotates it as small nucleolar RNA snoR27. Lineage: Eukaryota; Viridiplantae; Streptophyta; Magnoliopsida; Asterales; Asteraceae. The record is from RefSeq and is a predicted model, not a curated record.